Molecule: long non-coding RNA, 617 nt
Organism: Apodemus sylvaticus (European woodmouse)
Lineage: Eukaryota; Metazoa; Chordata; Mammalia; Rodentia; Muridae
Exons: 3
Source: RefSeq, a predicted model, not a curated record
CCUAUGCAACCCUCCCACGGGAGAGCUUAAUUUCUGUCCCUCUAUGAAGGCCAAAGGAAGGACACUCCCCUGUGUGUUAAAAGUAGGCGACUGGGGUCUCAUGAUUGAAGGUUCAUGGGUUCUGACUUAGAACCUUUUUACUGCCUUCUACUCAUCUCGAAACCCCGCCCUAAGAGCCACACCCCAGAGGCCUCCGUCACACAGUCAAAAUCUGCCUCCAUCCUGUCCCAAGAUGGCUGAUCAGCUAAAGAUGCUUGCCACUAAGCUUAAGUUCCAGCACGGCGGUGGUAGCCCAGUCUUUAAUCCUAGUGGGCAGAUCUCCGAGUUCAAGGCCAGCCAGACCUACAGAGCAGAUUCCAGAACAGCCAAAGGUGCACAGAGAAACCCUGUCUUGAAAAAUAACAACAACAAAAAACAAACAAACAGCACUUGGGAGGCAGAGGCAGGCGGAUCUCUGAGUUCGAAGCCAGCCUGGUCUACAGGGGCCCAUUUGACUGACAAGGGAAGCUGCCUAGCCCCGAUCUAGUGGAUUUCCAUCUGUGUGGGGUGAGACUUCAGGAAGAUGAGAAACAGCUGCUUCCGGAAAAAAGCCCUGCUAUCUUGCCAGCAUCCCUUAU